AGAGUUUGAUCCUGGCUCAGAUUGAACGCUGGCGGCAGGCCUAACACAUGCAAGUCGAGCGGUAACAUUUCAAAAGCUUGCUUUUGAAGAUGACGAGCGGCGGACGGGUGAGUAAUGCCUAGGGAACUGCCCAGUCGAGGGGGAUAACAGUUGGAAACGACUGCUAAUACCGCAUACGCCCUACGGGGGAAAAGAGGGGAUCUUCGGACCUUCUGCGAUUGGAUGUACCUAGGUGGGAUUAGCUAGUAGGUGAGGUAAUGGCUCACCUAGGCGACGAUCCCUAGCUGUUCUGAGAGGAUGAUCAGCCACACUGGGACUGAGACACGGCCCAGACUCCUACGGGAGGUAGCAGUGGGGAAUAUUGCACAAUGGGCGCAAGCCUGAUGCAGCCAUGCCGCGUGUGUGAAGAAGGCCUUCGGGUUGUAAAGCACUUUCAGCGAGGAGGAAAGGUUAACGGUUAAUACCCGUUAGCUGUGACGUUACUCGCAGAAGAAGCACCGGCUAACUUCGUGCCAGCAGCCGCGGUAAUACGAGGGGUGCAAGCGUUAAUCGGAAUUACUGGGCGUAAAGCGUACGCAGGCGGUUGAUUAAGCGAGAUGUGAAAGCCCCGGGCUUAACCUGGGAACUGCAUUUCGAACUGGUCAACUAGAGUCUUGUAGAGGGGGGUAGAAUUUCAGGUGUAGCGGUGAAAUGCGUAGAGAUCUGAAGGAAUACCGGUGGCGAAGGCGGCCCCCUGGACAAAGACUGACGCUCAGGUACGAAAGCGUGGGGAGCAAACA
This 779-nucleotide ribosomal RNA is filed under the name Shewanella aquimarina. Its description in RNAcentral is "bacterial SSU rRNA". It matches the Rfam family "Bacterial small subunit ribosomal RNA", at positions 8 to 774 of the family's 1533-position model. Lineage: Bacteria; Pseudomonadati; Pseudomonadota; Gammaproteobacteria; Alteromonadales; Shewanellaceae. The record is from RNAcentral.